UGCCCACUGAUUAAUUGAAUUGAAGGGCUGCAGUAUUUUGACUGUACAAAGGUAGCAUAAUAAAUAGUCAUUUAAUUGAUGACUUGUAUGAAGGAUUGGAUGAAAUGUAAACUGUCUUAAAGGUAAAUUUAAAAUUUAAUUUUUUAGUUAAAAAGCUAAAAUAAAUUAAAAAGACGAGAAGACCCUAUAGAGUUUAAUUAAAUAUUUUAUUUAAGGAAUUUUUUUUUUUAUUAAAUUUAAUUUUAAUUUUGUUGGGGUGAUGAGAAAAUUUAAUUAACUUUUUUUAUAUAAAAAAAAAAUUACAUUGAUAAAUGAUUUUUUUGAUCCAAUUUUAUUGAUUAUAAGAAAAAAUUACCUUAGGGAUAACAGCGUAAUUUUUUUUUUUAGUUCAUAUAAGAAAAAAAGUUUGCGACCUCGAUGUUGGAUUAAGAUAAAAUUUAAAUGUAGAAGUUUAAGAAUUUGA
RNAcentral lists this ribosomal RNA (463 nucleotides) under Arna bipunctapex. RNAcentral describes it as "partial large subunit ribosomal RNA". The record is from RNAcentral. Lineage: Eukaryota; Metazoa; Arthropoda; Insecta; Lepidoptera; Erebidae.